Molecule: transfer RNA, 63 nt
Filed under: Cryptomeria japonica var. sinensis
Lineage: Eukaryota; Viridiplantae; Streptophyta; Pinopsida; Cupressales; Cupressaceae
Description: tRNA-Val
Rfam family: tRNA
About the family: Transfer RNA (tRNA) molecules are approximately 80 nucleotides in length. Their secondary structure includes four short double-helical elements and three loops (D, anti-codon, and T loops).
Source: RNAcentral
AGGGCUAUAGCUCAGCUGGUAGAGCACCUCGGAAGGUCUACGGUUCGAGUCCGUAUAGCCCUA